Molecule: long non-coding RNA, 2189 nt
Organism: Aegilops tauschii subsp. strangulata
Lineage: Eukaryota; Viridiplantae; Streptophyta; Magnoliopsida; Poales; Poaceae
Source: RefSeq, a predicted model, not a curated record
AUUGACGUUUGGUGCUCCCUCUCCUAAUAAUAUCUGAGAUGGCGCUCCACUUCCUCUCCCCACGAUCUCCACAAGUAACUGACGGAUUUCUGUUUAAAGUUUGUGCUCUGCCUCAACUUAUUUGCAAUCGUCCUCCAGCUUGAAUAGGUGUUCAAGUCGCCUUCACCAACAUCAAUAUCCAAUCUAGUAUCGCUCUGUGCAAAGAUGCUAAAAGUCCUGUCAGUAGGGGCUAUUAGCUUUUCGUUGAUGCACAUAACUCUUGCUGAUCGAAUUGUGCAAGUAUGCUGGAGGAUUUCCGCCAACGCCAAGGAUCUAGGACGAUUUGGUGAGUACUGUGGCUGCUCAUGCUAACACAAAUUCCCUGCAGGGUGCCUCAAACGUGCCUGUUGGCACCCUGUUACAGCAGUCCUGCCAUGACCACCUGUUUGAUUGUUCGUUCAGCUCGGUUUUUCCUUUCAUCUUCUCUUUAUCUUUAAAGAUUAAUUGACUGAACACACCAUGUGUUUUCUACCAUAUGCAUAGAUGAGUUGAUUCGCCCAAUUUACUUAUAUUUCAUAUGGAAAGGAGCAUCAUUGGUUAUUCAGAUUGUUACUCAUGUCACACUCUCUAUAAUACAUCAGUUGAAUCACACUAAAUGCCAAUGGUUUUGUUAUCUUGGCCAGAGUUACACAUCACGAUUUUCCCUACCUCAAUGUUUCACGGAUUUAGGGAACUGUUCUUGGGUACUGGGAGCAGUGCAAGGGAUUUUCCAGAAUGUCCGUAUAAUAAUACAAAAUUUAUUGGGUUUCCUGGCAUAUAAUUUUUUGAAUAUUUUGAUUGGUAGUCUAACAUUAUCUCAUUUGGUUGAUACUGCAAAUCCCAACUAUGGAUACAUUAUCACACUUUUCGUGUGCUUUCACUAAUUUCUUAUUAGUUGCCCUUUAGUUUUCUCAGAAGUAAGGGAUGCUAAAUAGAAAAGUCACUUGCUAUUCUUUGUUGAUUUUGCCUUUGCUCAUAAACUACUUUUUUAUGUUGCACAUAUCUAUCCAGCAAUUGACUAUUAAGAAGAUGUUCCGUAACAUAUACAAACAUAUACAACAAUGUCUGUGUGAGGACAAUCCUUAGGCUUUGAUCGCCGGCCCCCUCGCCUCCGGUGGCUCUCCAGCUCCCGCACGACUACCAGUCCGCAUCGUCUCCGGCGGCUUUUCGGGAUAUCGCGGGAUGUGAUACCGUUGGCGGUGAACCGGCUCUGACCGUCGCCCCCCUUGCCUUCGAUGACUCUCCCGGUCUGGCAUGUCUGCCGGUGCACCUUGCCCAUGGUGCUGAUUUGUCUUUCGUACUCUCCUAAUGAUGCGGAGCAUCCCAAGGUCAUCCCCAUGGACCUACCUACGUCUCCUACGACACCACUUGGACCAAUGACAAGAGCCCAAGCAAAGGCUAUAGAAGAUAAGGUGAACUCGCUCCUCUCCGAACUUCCACUUCCUACUUAUGAGACAUGGCUACUACCUCAUGCGGAGACCCUAUGUGUGAUCAGGUACUUGGAGGAAAGCCACAGAUCAGCUACAUCCAACGGACAAGACGGCGAGGACACCAAGUUCAAUGGACAAGAAGAAGUGCAGCCUGAAAGUCCCCAGCCGUUGGACGACCGACCCCGACCAGAUGACCGAAGCCUGGAGCAUCCACCAACCGACCAAGUCUCAGCAAGAAGAUGUCCCAGCGCCCGGACGACUGACGCCUACCGGAUGUCCGACGCACUCCAGGUCCUAGGGGACCGACCCCCUCCGGACGUCCGGCGCCACCACACCCGAGCCAAAACGUCGGAAGUAUGGAGACCUCCGGAUGACCGACGCACCGGACAUCCGACCCCGACCGGUCGACCGACCAAGCGCCAACAGAGCCAAAACAGCGGACGAUCGAUCCUGACCGGACGUCCGACCCUCCGCGAGCCACUGGACGACCGAUGAUGGUCGGACAUCCGACACCGUAUGCCGCCCGCGUGUUGGGCCGAAGCCCACUUACCCUUUUGUGACUCUAGACUAUAAAUAGACAUCCUCCUCCCUCUUUCUAGGGUUAGCUUUGUGUUAGCUCAUAUGUGAGAUAGAGCUUCGCUCAUCCAUCCGGAUCUACUCCAUCGCGAGGGACCGUCACCUCUUCGGAGAAGAUCCACUUGGAUUCAAGACCCCUAACGGGAAGACCUCAAGACCUCCUCU